RNAcentral lists this ribosomal RNA (253 nucleotides) under uncultured bacterium. RNAcentral's name for it is "partial 16S ribosomal RNA". It matches the Rfam family "Bacterial small subunit ribosomal RNA", at positions 524 to 776 of the family's 1533-position model. The record is from RNAcentral.
UACAGAGGUCUCAAGCGUUGUUCGGAUUCAUUGGGCGUAAAGGGUGCGUAGGCGGCGCCGUAAGUCAGGUGUGAAAUCUCGGGGCUCAACCCCGAAACUGCACUUGAUACUGCGGUGCUAGAGGACUCGAGAGGAGAUUGGAAUUCACGGUGUAGCAGUGAAAUGCGUAGAUAUCAAGAGGAACACCAGUGGCGAAAGCGAGUCUCUGGACAAUUCCUGACACUGAGGCACGAAAGCUAGGGGAGCAAACAGG